GGUUGCGAUCAUACCAGCACUAAUGCACCGGAUCCCAUCAGGACUCCGCAGUUAAACGUGCUUGGGCGAGAGUAGUACUAGGAUGGGUGACCCCCUGGGAAGUCCUCGUGUUGCAACCC
Molecule: ribosomal RNA, 119 nt
Filed under: Helianthus annuus (common sunflower)
Lineage: Eukaryota; Viridiplantae; Streptophyta; Magnoliopsida; Asterales; Asteraceae
Source: RNAcentral